UUUUUUAUACUUUUUUUUAGAUCACGCACGUUAUGAUUGUUCAGUUGCUUUUUGGUUUCAAUGGUUUUUAUUUCUUGGUAUUUUCGUUUUCACUAAGGACAAUAGUUCUGUUUUGUUUGUUUUGGAAUGUGACUCUAGGAAUGUCUUGAAACGACCGUUUUCUAAUUGAUUUUCUUAGGGUUUCCUUUUGUCUUCCUUAAGAUGGCCGAACCGGGUCAUAGACCAAACCCGGCCCGCCCCCUUAUUGCUUGAAGAGCCU
Molecule: long non-coding RNA, 259 nt
Filed under: Lathyrus oleraceus (garden pea)
Lineage: Eukaryota; Viridiplantae; Streptophyta; Magnoliopsida; Fabales; Fabaceae
Description: Pisum sativum (pea) long non-coding RNA (PSAT_LNC016982)
Source: RNAcentral